Molecule: long non-coding RNA, 429 nt
Filed under: Trifolium pratense (red clover)
Lineage: Eukaryota; Viridiplantae; Streptophyta; Magnoliopsida; Fabales; Fabaceae
Description: long non-coding RNA (TPRA_LNC004955)
Source: RNAcentral
GUACUAUAGGCAACAAUUUAUGCAUGUUACUGGGUGUAUUUUUGCCACACUAUAAACCUGUUCCCAAAAAUAUAAUGGGGGACAUUUAUCAACCGUGACCAAUGAACUUUUUUGGCAACACUUGUUAACUGUCGCCUUAACCAUCUUAGGGAACAAUUUUCAAGGGUUGCGUUAUUAUUAACAAAAAGGCUACGUUUAACGAUUGUCGCAGUUAAAAAAGAUAUAUAUUUUUUUUAUUUUGAUUUCCCUUCAAAUAUAUAAUUAAUAAAUAAUUUAAUAACAAUUAGAGCUGUCAAAAAAGACCGGGCUAUCGGGCCGGCCCAUUAGAUCUAUCAUUUUACAUGGGUCGGACUUCAUAAAAAGGGGACCAGUCUUUAUCGGGCCGGACCUUAUCGGGUCAGACUUUUUCAUGGGCCGUCAUGGGUCGGC